Long non-coding RNA from Dama dama (fallow deer), 602 nucleotides. RefSeq lists it as uncharacterized. Lineage: Eukaryota; Metazoa; Chordata; Mammalia; Artiodactyla; Cervidae. The record is from RefSeq and is a predicted model, not a curated record. The transcript has 2 exons.
GCGCUCAGCGCAGCUCCGCGCAGGCCUGGAAGUCGGCGGGCUGCCGGAAGUCGGCGUGCUUCCGGGUAGGGCCGGUUCCAACUGUCCUGGCACCUGCUGCUGCGGAUGCCGGGGUUGGUGACCUGGGAGUCCUCCCGUGACCCCGGAGACUCCGCCGGGCGGUCUGGGGCGGUGCUGGCCGUCGUCCGGGCGCGAGUGCCCCAAGAUCCCACAGAGGCAAAUCAUCUUACUUUAUUUAUUUAUUUUUUUGAAGUGGAGUCUUAUUACACCAUGCCAACGAUGUACAGCAAGGAACUGAAGUUAAGAGGCUAAAUUGUUGUUAUGCCUUGAGGGAAGGUGUGAGCUUGCAAGAACUGAAGAAAGCUGAUUCUAUCAGGCACAGCAUAGUAAUAGGCACAAAGAGAGUAAGCGGUAAGAAGGAAUUCAGCCAGAAAAUUGCUAAGCAAAGCACAGUCUUAGGCCUUUAAAAAAUAUAUUGGUGCUUGACCUUCCUCUUAGUCAUCAAUGACAUUCAUCAUUACAAAUUAAAUACACCUUAGUAUGUAAAAUCAUGACUGGAAUGUGCUGGUGACAAAUCUAGUGAAUAAAAUGUUUCAAAUGUU